This 415-nucleotide ribosomal RNA is filed under the name uncultured bacterium. RNAcentral describes it as "bacterial SSU rRNA". It matches the Rfam family "Bacterial small subunit ribosomal RNA", at positions 29 to 450 of the family's 1533-position model. The record is from RNAcentral.
AGCGAACGUUUGCGGCGGGCCUAACACAUGCAAGUCGAACGCACUAGCAAUAGUGAGUGGCGCACGGGUGCGUAACACGUGGGUAAUCAACCCUUCAGCCUGGGAUAACGACUCGAAAGGGUCGCUAAUACCGGAUACGGCGCGAGAGGCUUCGGCUUCUCACGAGAAAGCCACGCAAGGGGCACUGAAGGCGAGCCUGCGGCCCAUCAGCUAGUUGGUGAGGUAAGAGCUCACCAAGGCUAAGACGGGUAGCUGGUCUGAGAGGAUGAUCAGCCACACUGGAACUGAGACACGGUCCAGACUCCUACGGGAGGCAGCAGUGGGGAAUAUGCGCAAUGGCGAAAGCCUGACGCAGCCACGCCGCGUGAGCGAUGAAGGCCUUCGGGUCGUAAACGGCUCUGUGGGAGAGACGAAG